UUCUAAUUUGCAUGAUUUGAUAUCCUUGUAAGUCUCUCCGAGUCUCGGGUUUUGUUUGGCCAACUAGAUCUAUGAUUCUUGCAAUGGGAGAAGUGCUUGGUUUUGGGUUCUUACCAUGUGGUGACUUUUCCCAAUGACAGUAGGGGCAGCAAGGCACACAUCGUGUAGUUGCCAUCAAGGGUAACAAGGUCGGCUUUCUCGUAGAUAUGAGAUUGUCCAUCUACAUC
Molecule: long non-coding RNA, 227 nt
Filed under: Hordeum vulgare
Lineage: Eukaryota; Viridiplantae; Streptophyta; Magnoliopsida; Poales; Poaceae
Description: long non-coding RNA (HVUL_LNC010016)
Source: RNAcentral